This 486-nucleotide ribosomal RNA is filed under the name uncultured bacterium. RNAcentral's name for it is "partial 16S ribosomal RNA". It matches the Rfam family "Bacterial small subunit ribosomal RNA", at positions 30 to 507 of the family's 1533-position model. The record is from RNAcentral.
AUUGAACGCUGGCGGCAUGCCUUACACAUGCAAGUCGAACGGCAGCACGGGUGCUUGCACCUGGUGGCGAGUGGCGAACGGGUGAGUAAUACAUCGGAACAUGUCCUGUAGUGGGGGAUAGCCCGGCGAAAGCCGGAUUAAUACCGCAUCCGAUCUACGGAUGAAAGCGGGGGACCUUCGGGCCUCGCGCUAUCGGGUUGGCCGAUGGCUGAUUAGCUAGUUGGUGGGGUAAAGGCCUACCAAGGCGACGAUCAGUAGCUGGUCUGAGAGGACGACCAGCCACACUGGGACUGAGACACGGCCCAGACUCCUACGGGAGGCAGCAGUGGGGAAUUUUGGACAAUGGGCGAAAGCCUGAUCCAGCAAUGCCGCGUGUGUGAAGAAGGCCUUCGGGUUGUAAAGCACUUUUGUCCGGAAAGAAAUCCUUGGCCCUAAUACGGUCGGGGGAUGACGGUACCGGAAGAAUAAGCACCGGCUAACUACGUG